Molecule: ribosomal RNA, 504 nt
Filed under: uncultured bacterium
Lineage: Bacteria
Description: bacterial SSU rRNA
Rfam family: Bacterial small subunit ribosomal RNA
Source: RNAcentral
GAUGAACGCUAGCGGCAGGCUUAAUACAUGCAAGUCGAACGGGAAUUGGGUAGCAAUACCUGAUGAUAGUGGCGCACGGGUGCGUAACGCGUAUGCAACCUACCUUUAACAGGGGGAUAGCCCGGAGAAAUUCGGAUUAAUACCCCAUAGUAUUAUGGAGAGGCAUCUUUUCAUGAUUAAAGUUCCGGCGGUUAAAGAUGGGCAUGCGUGCCAUUAGCUAGUUGGUGAGGUAACGGCUCACCAAGGCGACGAUGGUUAGGGGUCCUGAGAGGGUUAUCCCCCACACUGGUACUGAGACACGGACCAGACUCCUACGGGAGGCAGCAGUAAGGAAUAUUGGUCAAUGGGCGGAAGCCUGAGCCAGCCAUGCCGCGUGCAGGAAGACGGCCUUAUGGGUUGUAAACUGCUUUUGUCAGGGAAUAAACCCUCGUUUGCGAACGAGGCUGAAGGUACCUGAAGAAUAAGCAUCGGCUAACUCCGUGCCAGCAGCCGCGGUAAAACGUG